Molecule: microRNA precursor, 57 nt
Filed under: Cavia porcellus (domestic guinea pig)
Lineage: Eukaryota; Metazoa; Chordata; Mammalia; Rodentia; Caviidae
Source: RNAcentral
UACUUCACAGAAUCUCGAUCAUGUCUAAAUAAAUAUGAUCGAAUCCUAUGAAGUAGA